RNAcentral lists this ribosomal RNA (354 nucleotides) under Triticum aestivum (bread wheat). RNAcentral's name for it is "partial small subunit ribosomal RNA". The record is from RNAcentral. Lineage: Eukaryota; Viridiplantae; Streptophyta; Magnoliopsida; Poales; Poaceae.
AUGCUUAGGAGGAUGUUCCAAGGUGGUUCUUCAAGGAAGCAAGGUCCCAGACUUGCAAUGCGUGAUGGUGACGAGGAACCACCAAGAGACGCUCUCAUGAGGCCCUGUGAAUGGCCUUCAGAAAAUUUUAUGAAUCAAGUGGGAAUUAAAGAAGAAUUUUACGCAUAUGUGCGUAAUGCCGGUCUUGAGGACUUUGAAGCUGAUAAAUGCCCCCAGUAUCGUUAUCUCACAAGUUCAUUUGUGGGUUUGAUUUUCAGGCGAGAGGAAGAUAUAUUAUUACCAAAGAGGAGGCAGAUGAGUACGAGAGGGGAGUGGAAGCAGCCCGACGCCGUGCUGCUGCUCAGCAGGCGGUAG